GACGAACGCUGGCGGCGUGCUUAACACAUGCAAGUCGAACGGAAAGGCCCUGCUUUUGUGGGGUGCCCGAGUGGCGAACGGGUGAGUAACACGUGAGUAACCUGCCCUAGACUUUGGGAUAACUUCAGGAAACUGGGGCUAAUACCGGAUAGGAGCUCCUGCUGCAUGGUGGGGGUUGGAAAGUUUCGGCGGUUGGGGAUGGACUCGCGGCUUAUCAGCUUGUUGGUGGGGUAGUGGCUUACCCAGGCUUUGACGGGUAGCCGGCCUGAGAGGGUGACCGGCCACAUUGGGACUGAGAUACGGCCCAGACUCCUACGGGAGGCAGCAGUGGGGAAUAUUGCACAAUGAGCGGAAGCCUGAUGCAGCAACGCCGCGUGCGGGAUGACGGCCUUCGGGUUGUAAACCGCAUUCGCCUGUGACGAAGCGUGAGUGACGGUAAUGGGUAAAGAAGCACCGGCUAACUACGUG
This 468-nucleotide ribosomal RNA is filed under the name uncultured bacterium. RNAcentral describes it as "partial 16S ribosomal RNA". It matches the Rfam family "Bacterial small subunit ribosomal RNA", at positions 28 to 507 of the family's 1533-position model. The record is from RNAcentral.